This 164-nucleotide small RNA is filed under the name uncultured Massilistercora sp. RNAcentral describes it as "Clostridiales-1 RNA". It matches the Rfam family "Clostridiales-1 RNA". The record is from RNAcentral. Lineage: Bacteria; Bacillati; Bacillota; Clostridia; Eubacteriales.
GAUGUCAGGGUCAAAAGGUCUAAACCCACAUGAGCUUGCUCAUAAGUGGGUGAAAGACCUUGGGACCCGCCCCGAUAUGAGCAUAAAAGUGGGAUACAUAUCCCACGAUAUGCGAAUAUGGGGCAGGAUUGUGGAAGUGCGUAGCACGGAGCAAUCCGCUGACA